Molecule: ribosomal RNA, 301 nt
Filed under: uncultured bacterium
Lineage: Bacteria
Description: partial 16S ribosomal RNA
Rfam family: Bacterial small subunit ribosomal RNA
Source: RNAcentral
CAGCAGCCACGGGAAUACAGAGGGUGCGAGCGUUAAUCGGAUUUACUGGGCGUAAAGCGUGCGUAGGCGGCUUUUUAAGUCGGAUGUGAAAUCCCUGAGCUUAACUUAGGAAUUGCAUUCGAUACUGGGAAGCUAGAGUAUGGGAGAGGAUGGUAGAAUUCCAGGUGUAGCGGUGAAAUGCGUAGAGAUCUGGAGGAAUACCGAUGGCGAAGGCAGCCAUCUGGCCUAAUACUGACGCUCAUGCACGAAAGCGUGGGGAGCAAACAGGAUUAGAUACCCCAGUAGUCCCUGUCUCUUAUAC